GACUAUAAAAUACACUGAUUAGUUGAUGCUUGAAUUGCUUCGCGGGAUCCAAUGAAAAGUCUCAUUUAGAGAAGCGCCCAGAAAGCGGUAAAACGGUACGUUGCGUGACUUGAGUCAACAGCUCCGAAUUUACAGUCAGAUUGCCUAGACGUUGAUUUCUGCAGUAACGUAACCAGGAUCCUAAGGUGUGAUGAGAAAGUUAGCAGUGAUCCAGUGGGUCAGUGGGGAGGAUGGUGGGAUGUAUAGGGAGGUAAAAACUGAUGCCAUACGUAAAUAUGAUGACACCAAGAUGGAUGAUGAUGGAUACCCACAAACUGACUAUUCAGCUGCUGUGGAGUGGCAGAAAGGGAAAAAGCCAAAACAUGGCCGGCCAGUGUACAUGGCCUCGGUCAAGUUUGUGAGCUACAAUCGAUUUCAUACUAGUAAUAAAAUUAAGUAAUUUCUGGGGUUGGAGUCUGAUGAAAGUAACAAAGCACUGCCUAAGAAAAGGGCCUCAGUCCCACCAUCAAGAUAUACAGAUUCAGAUGAAACUGAUGUUGAGAAUACACCGACCCAAAGGAAAAGGACAGUGAUCCCCGAACCACAGAUAAAUGUUGCCCAAAUGAUUGUUGAUGAGUAUCAAGCCACAACCUUCACAGAGACUCAGAAGAAGCUGAAGGAAAUGGAGGAGGAAAACAAAAAAAUUGAGAAACGACAACGAAAAAAUAAGAAGAAUGUUUAUUAGAGGUAUCACAUUUAUUUUAGUAUUGUGGUGAAUCAUGCAAUCAGCUAUCACACUGUUUUGUAGUUCUUAUGUCCUCUGCACUUAUUAUUGUUGAUUAUUGUUGAACUGUUGUUUUGUUCCAAUAACAUUAUUUAACUUGGUAUGUAAAGUUGAGGCAAAUAAUUUAAUCAUUGGUAAUGACAAUAAUUAUUGGUAACUGCAUUUUUAUCAAGUAUAUAAAACACCCGAGUAGGUAAAUUAGUAUAAUAAAUUGUUUUAUCAUAUUUUAUUUUGUUUUAUUUUUGUUGUUAGAGCUACCAAAUCUGAUUAAUGAAGUGAAGAUGGCUCUGAAGUCUCAGUGUUCAUCAACGACAUCAGUCAGCUCUGACUUGGAAAGUAGACAGGAUUUGCCACAGAGUAUUGCACAGCCCUCCCCACAGCCCUCCACCCACCGAAAGAAGUAUCCACAGAACAGAUAGUGUACUAUUUGAAUUAAUCAAUGAAUACUGCACUGUUCAAUGAACCAUUUGGUAAUAUA
Molecule: long non-coding RNA, 1241 nt
Organism: Carassius carassius (crucian carp)
Lineage: Eukaryota; Metazoa; Chordata; Actinopteri; Cypriniformes; Cyprinidae
Exons: 4
Source: RefSeq, a predicted model, not a curated record